Peromyscus maniculatus bairdii (prairie deer mouse) is the source of this 2877-nucleotide long non-coding RNA. RefSeq lists it as uncharacterized. The record is from RefSeq and is a predicted model, not a curated record. Lineage: Eukaryota; Metazoa; Chordata; Mammalia; Rodentia; Cricetidae.
GCUGGGCUUCCAGCCUGGCCUUUAUGCGCCCCGGCGGAGGUAGGACACGCGCCAGGCGCCCAGUGAAGGACGUGGGACAAUGGCCUGGCCAGGGGAACACCAGGCGCCGCCAGACGCGGUGAAGGCAAGCUCCAGCCACCGUCCUGCAGCGCAGCCCCGAGGCAGACAGGGCCGCCUGCUCUGCAGACAAAUAACAGAGAAGGCGGCUCACCGUGGUCUUGACCCGCACGAAGAGCACUUGCUUGGCGCCGCCGCCUCCCCCGCGGACCUCAUCCGGCUGGCCCAGCUGGAAACCCUUCGAUUUGACCCAGAAUUUAAAUUUGGCAUUGUCGGUAGAGCUUGACUCGGAGCCGUUGAGGAGCUGGACGAUCCGCUCGUAUUUCUUACGGGUCACCGUCUUGGUCUUGCCUGAGUCCCCGUACAAAAUUCAAUAGAACAUAAUCAGUAGCUCCUUAAUUGGAUUUACAGUCCACUCAACAAGAGGAAACUCAUGCCUGGUACUGGAAACCUAGCCAACCAUCCAGGGCUAGUGUAGUCAUGAAUCUUGGAGGAGAACUUACAUCCACCACUUGGAGGAGAACUUAAACCAGCAUCCCUAACUGCAUUCUAAAUAAUUGUCCUUACAUAUACAGGCCAUCUAUUUUCUUAGAGUCUAGAAGACAGUGGAAGUCUGGAAGCUAUUUUUUAAAGCCAUCAACUCCUCCACCAUAUCUCCUCCUUCUAAUGUUGAGUAUGAGGAGAGGUGUUUGCCGGCAGCUGGAGAAAUUUUGAAUCCUGGGAUGGAGAUGGAUCUGUGAUUUUUCACAGACAUCAGGACCCAGCAUUCAGGUGAAUGAUAAGGACAUGAGUCAGAAAGGUGGAGGAACAACUUCACACAGACUGAAGGGAAACUCGGAGGAAGAGAGCACAAUACACAUCUAAUGCUGAAGAGGCUGAGCACAGUAAUGACAGGAAUGCAUGAGCAUGAAAACGCACAGGCAAUCCAUGGCAGAAAGAGAACCCACAGAGAAGAAAGACGUUACAUUAGCCAACACCUAUGGCAAUUACCACACAAUGCUGAGGUCGAUGCAAAACUUUGAACUGACAUAUUUUGGAAACUGAGUCCAAGAAACAGAAGAAGGAAUGGAAAUGGGAGGGAUAAAAGCCAGUUCAUGGGAUCGCAUCAAAUCUGUUCGUACGGGAGCUGCCAGAUAUCAGUUCUGUUCAGGAGCUUCAAAAACUCAGGAAUGGGAUUCAGAGUUCUGUUUUGGUGGGAAAAGAUGUUUAUCCACCACCUACUAAACUCUGAAUCAAGACUCCAUUAUGUUUGCAGGUUUUCACAAGCAUCUGAACCCUAAGUGGGAUUUGCUAAUGCUCAAAUAAUUAUCAAACUCUAUAGCAGAACAUGAAGGAUAUUCAAUCCAUACAAUUUAACAUGCAAGUAUCACCAUAGCAACUGAGGUCAAAAGAUGGGCAGAAAGGAUCUGAUCCAGAGCAGGUGAGUAUCUAGAAUGACCUGCUCCCUCAGACUACAGAGACCUACAAAUUUCUCACAUUGGACCCACCAAAGACGCAUCACAAUGCUGGUUGCCUGUAGUAUGCAAAACUGACUUAUAUAGUAUUAGUCUCAGCUACUGCAUCCUAACACAUUUCAGUAGCUUAUCUUCCUCCUCUAGCACCUAUUCAGAAUUUUCUUUGAGUUUGGAUUGCUUGGUUAAUGAGAAAAAUCUCAAAUAUCUUUUCCCCAAAAGGAUAUAUCCUUUAGUUGCUUUACCCCUGUAGGGACAUGGUUGUUGGCAAUUCUCAUUUACUUUUAUCACUAUGUGUAGAUGCACCAAGACAUGCUCUGCAGGCUUCUUCAACUUCAGAAGAAUUCCUAGUAGCAAAUGUCCAAUCAGAUUCAAUUCCUCUAGACAGUGUGGUACCUCCUGUUCUAACCCUUAUGCUUUAAGUCAAUUCCUCCUAUGUGUUCAUCCAUGAAGGGUGCUGGCAUGGUGACAGUCCAUUGUCAGCUGCAUCAACUUGCACAUCAAAUUCAUUUCUGAACCACUUGUGGGCUUUUUUAUUCCGUUACAUGACAGAGACUAUACUUUCCCUUCCAUGAGGCCAUACUGUGAGUUGCAAGCAGGGGGAGGGGGAGUGUUUUACUGGUCCAGCUAGUUAAAAAAAACAAAAGUGAUUGGUCCCCCUCCUUGCCUGAGCAGUGCAGGAGAGCUGGCCCAGGUGACUUGGGUGCUGAAGAGCUGGUGGGCUGACAGACUCAACUACCACUCAUGCCCAGAUUCAGAGAUUUGAGUUGGGCCACCCCAACAUCUAUGAGCUACUGGAGUGUGUGAAGGAGCUGGUCCUGUGGAACCAUAUCUGCAGGAUCUCCAUGUCUCAGGACAACAGCAGAAUACCCAAGAGGAGUCUAUGUGAGGGUCCAGUGUUGAUGGUGUAGAAGAAGCCAGAAGCCUUGAACCAGGCCAAUGACUCAUUGCAAUGAACACUUGCAAGUAAAGCUGAUUGGGCAAAGGGGUAUACAAUGUGACACUGUAGCUUCCAAUGCCACUAUGACAAAUGAAUAUGUGAUGGAGAUUCGGGAAAGAUAGAGGAGUAGACUGGUAUAUGCAUCACAGAACUGCAGAAGUUGAGUGAAAGUUGUAGGCUGCAAUUGAUAGAGGAGCAGGUCAUUUUCAGAAGGGUCAAAUAUUUUUUUUUUGAGGGGGAAGUUACAAGGGUGGAGGGCAGAUACAGAAGGACUGGGAAAUGAACAGGAUUGAGGUGCAUGAUAUAAAAUUCCCAAAGGAUCCAUAAAAAAUUACGUUUUAAAAAAUGUGACUGGGCUGGGCUGGCGGUGGCGGUGGCGGUGGUGGUGGUGGUGCAUGCCUUUAAUCCCAGCACUUGAGAGGCAGAGCC